Molecule: ribosomal RNA, 279 nt
Filed under: uncultured bacterium
Lineage: Bacteria
Description: partial 16S ribosomal RNA
Rfam family: Bacterial small subunit ribosomal RNA
Source: RNAcentral
UGCCAGCAGCCGCGGUAACACGGGGGGCGCAAGCGUUAUUCGGAAUUAUUGGGCGUAAAGCGCGUGUAGGCGGUUCGUUAAGUUUGAUGUGAAAGCCCAGGGCUCAACCUUGGAACUGCAUUUAAUACUGCCAGACUUGAGAUCGGAAGAGGAAAGCGGAAUUUCUAGUGUAGAGGUGAAAUUCGUAGAUAUUAGAAGGAACAUCAGAGGCGAAGGCGGCUUUCUGGUCCGAUACUGACGCUGAGGUACGAAAGCGUGGGGAGCAAACAGGAUUAGAUA